Zonotrichia albicollis (white-throated sparrow) is the source of this 1808-nucleotide long non-coding RNA. Lineage: Eukaryota; Metazoa; Chordata; Aves; Passeriformes; Passerellidae. The record is from Ensembl.
GAGAGAGAGUUCCUCUGGAAUAUGCACAGCUCCCAAACUCCUGGGAGAGAUAUUCUGGAAUACACACUGCUCCCAAACUCCUGGGAGAGAGAAUUACUCUGGAAUACACACAGCUUCCAAACUCCUGGGAGAGAGAUAUUCUGGAAUACACACUGCUCCCAAACUCCUGAGAGAGUUACUCUGGAACACACACAGCUCCCAAACUCCUCUGCAUCCUGCUGAGAUGGAGGGCCCUGACUCGAUGCUGUGCAUGAGAACUUGCUACACAAAGCACUGCAGAGUGCUUGGCAUUGCUGAAAAUCCGCCUGAGCUGGGGCAAAGCCCCCUCUCCAGGAGCUGCAGGUGCUCUCGUAGGAUUGUGAAACAACAGUGGCCAAACAGAGCCAGCAAGUGUGCCCUGCCCAUCAUCCCAGAAUACCCAGGCUUCCAGGAUGUCAAGCUGUCAAAAAGUUCUUUGGCAAAUCCUGCCUUCAGCCAAAUGUUCCAGGGCCUGGAGAGAGGGAGGAAGCUCAGUGACUGCCCAAUGAGGGGCUCCUUACCCUAUGGCCUGGGGGGCUCCUCUGGAGGCUCCUCUGGAGGCUUCCAGGACAAGCCCCUGCAGGAGUAUUUCACUGAGAGGCUGCUGGAGCUGGGGAGCUGCAAGGGCAGGAGGAGCAGCAGGAGAUGCAGGGGGUUUGCAGAGAGGAACCAGAGCUGGAGCGGCGCUGGGCCGGGAGGGAGAGUGGCCCUGCAGCCCAGCACAGCAGCACAGGAAUGGACAGCAAGGCUCAGCAGGAGAUCCACAGCAUCCUAAAAGUCUACUCUGGCAACUUCUUGGAGCUUUUGAUAGUGCCCAUCGCCGCUCCUCUGGAAGCGUUGGUGCAGGAGAAGUGAUGCUGGAGAUGGUUGCAGGUUUUCGUGCAGUCCUGAAGAGUUGUUCCUGUUCUGCACCACUCUCAUUUAUAGCUCAGUCCCCUCUGAUGCAGAAAGGGGCUUGUUUUGGGAUUGCUCUUGAUUAACAUUGCAUAUAUUUGUUUUCAGUUAUUUCCUGGAAAGAAUCAGCAUGAUUGAGCCAUAGGUGCAGUACAUACAUGCAUGUAUUACUAGAAUACUUAAGUUGCCUUCAAAAAAGCUGAUUAGUGUCAGAGGAGUAGCUUGUUUCCUGCUGUGCACUUUGUGUUAAUUAAUCUGAGGAAAGGCUGCUGUAUUCUGCCUCUUAUUUUGCUUUUUUAAGCCCCUUGCUUUUAUGAUGUCACUGUGGCCUGACUAAUUUAUCUUCUUACUGUGACUUAUUUCUGACACAGAUGCAAAUAGUUGAUGAGAAAUUACUGAUUUUCAGUCAUUGCCAUGAAAUCAUGAGGGGGAUCACUGCAAGAGUCUGAUGCAUGAAGAAGCAAACACAGACAUAAGAUCUACUUUUAAAUAUGAUCUGCCAUUAUGGUUUUAUUUGCAGACUCAAAACCCCUUGACUGAAAAACCACCGCAGGGGCAGAGAGGAAAAAAUGCUGGAUUUAAGUUAGAGUGAUGGAAUUAAGUAUGAAAGAAGGCUCCUUCCCUCUUUCCUUCUGUAAAUACAAGAACCACAUAGGGAAUUCCUAAUGUAAUCUGAACUUCAAAUUGUUUAUUGUAUUUUAAUGUUUAUCGUGGUCAUGUAAGUAUAAAAUGUCAGCUGCAGCUGAAUCCUUUUACUAUGGGAAAUGUCAAUGUUUAAUUCCACAGUGAAUAUCAAACCCAAAUGAAGCAACGACUUUAAGCUUCCAGAAAGAUCUAUUACUGCCUGUGGUAUCAUCAGCAAUAAAUUCCUCAUUAUAGUUGUGGUUGGAAUGGAU